RNAcentral lists this long non-coding RNA (282 nucleotides) under Mytilus galloprovincialis (Mediterranean mussel). Lineage: Eukaryota; Metazoa; Mollusca; Bivalvia; Mytilida; Mytilidae. The record is from RNAcentral.
CUUUUGAGGCUACAACUAAAAAAGGAUAAUUAUCUGCAUAUAAAAACAGGUAUAAAUAGGUCAAACUGAUUUGUUUACAUUUUGUAUACAGGUGUGUGGAAAUGGCGAUGGAAUUAAUUUGCAUAUCUAUAUAAAUAUAGUAGAGUGCUAUUGCUUUUCUGUUUACAUGAUUAUAUGACAUAGCGCACAUAUUGAUAUUGUGGUACAUUGAAGCACAAAUUAUUACAUAUAUAUAUAUAACUAUACUAGUUGUUUCAUAUGAAAAAAAAAAGAAUUAGUUUC